UCCAUUGUGACCCGGCUUGUCAUCCUGCCUCCUGUGAAAAUAGAGCAAAUCGUAUCAGCUCUGUUGGUCUCAGGGCAGUCCCAAGGACACGGGGCUGUGACUUACUGGUGAUACACCGCCAGCACCCUCCUCAUUUCUGGGCGUCAUGGCUCCCUCCUCUCUGUAUCUGAGCGAGGGUGUGCGGAAGGCCUGGCACACCUGGCUGGAGGUGGAGGUGGGGGCGGCCCCGAGAGAACUGAAGCUCAGGCUGUCCUCAGGCAGCUGGUGGCUUAGCUGGGAAACAAGACUCCCGCCUGUGGAAGCCUAAGGAGAAACCAGCCCCCAGUUCAGAAGCCCAGCAGUUGGUGAAGGCUGCCCUCGGUAAGGGAGACCUGGUAGGAGUUCAUUCGUCAACAAGACUGGCGUGGCUUGGGGGGCUGCAUACUGUACGCUGGGAGAGGUAUGACGCUGAGGAGGCAUGGAGGUCCCAGAAAGGCGGAGGACCCCAAGGGGAGAGGAUCCGAGAGGUUCCUUCCAGAAGGAUGGCUUUGUGGCUCUCCACACCCAGGGGCAGGCUUGUGGUAUCUCAGGGAAGGAGAUACUGGUUUCACCCUGGGAACCAUCCAAGCACCCAGGUCCCUGGUACCAGCUCUCAGCUCUUUGAUAGCAGUCUUGGGGCCUCCCUGGGUCCUGUCUCUGAGGAGCAGAAGAGGAGUUGAGCUCCCCCCACUUGCUUCCACCUCUCAGCCACCCUGGACUUCAGACUUGCAGGCCCCAGAGCACAGUUUAUCUCCCCAUCUGCAAGAGCGAUUUUCCAUUUGCUCCACAAUGGGAAAUAAGAAUCCAUCAUGUGCCAUUGUGUCAGGAAGGUGGUGUCUACUUUAAUAAAUUUGCUUUUAAAUGCUGGCUGUCUCUGGAGAUCGUUUCGCUCAUGCCUGCAGACAAAGUGAUUAAAGUUGCAGAGUAUACAUGGUUCCUGCAAAGACCCAGAA
Molecule: long non-coding RNA, 971 nt
Filed under: Homo sapiens (human)
Lineage: Eukaryota; Metazoa; Chordata; Mammalia; Primates; Hominidae
Description: HSALNT0358380
Source: RNAcentral